GUAACAAGGUUUCCGUAGGUGAACCUGCGGAAGGAUCAUUACCGAGUGCGGGUCCUUUGGGCCCAACCUCCCAUCCGUGUCUAUUAUACCCUGUUGCUUCGGCGGGCCCGCCGCUUGUCGGCCGCCGGGGGGGCGCCUUUGCCCCCCGGGCCCGUGCCCGCCGGAGACCCCAACACGAACACUGUCUGAAAGCGUGCAGUCUGAGUUGAUUGAAUGCAAUCAGUUAAAACUUUCAACAAUGGAUCUCUUGGUUCCGGCAUCGAUGAAGAACGCAGCGAAAUGCGAUAACUAAUGUGAAUUGCAGAAUUCAGUGAAUCAUCGAGUCUUUGAACGCACAUUGCGCCCCCUGGUAUUCCGGGGGGCAUGCCUGUCCGAGCGUCAUUGCUGCCCUCAAGCCCGGCUUGUGUGUUGGGUCGCCGUCCCCCUCUCCGGGGGGACGGGCCCGAAAGGCAGCGGCGGCACCGCGUCCGAUCCUCGAGCGUAUGGGGCUUUGUCACAUGCUCUGUAGGAUUGGCCGGCGCCUGCCGAC
This 529-nucleotide ribosomal RNA is filed under the name Aspergillus luchuensis. RNAcentral describes it as "eukaryotic LSU rRNA". The stretch from base 228 to 381 matches the Rfam family "5.8S ribosomal RNA". The record is from RNAcentral. Lineage: Eukaryota; Fungi; Ascomycota; Eurotiomycetes; Eurotiales; Aspergillaceae.